This 86-nucleotide transfer RNA is filed under the name Roseovarius sp. Its description in RNAcentral is "tRNA-Leu". It matches the Rfam family "tRNA". Rfam says of the family: Transfer RNA (tRNA) molecules are approximately 80 nucleotides in length. Lineage: Bacteria; Pseudomonadati; Pseudomonadota; Alphaproteobacteria; Rhodobacterales; Roseobacteraceae. The record is from RNAcentral.
GCCCAAGUGGCGGAAGGGUAGACGCAGGGGAUUCAAAAUCCCCCGGGGGAAACCCCGUGUGAGUUCGAAUCUCACCUUGGGCACCA